GUAGGCUUAAGAGUUAGGUAAAUCCGGCUCUUUUUAAGGCUGAGACACGACGUCGAGCACCUACGGGUGUGAAGUCAUUGAUGCCAUGCUUCCAGGAAAAGCCUCUAAGCUUCAGAUUGUAAGGAAUCGUACCCCAAACCGACACAGGUGGUCGGGUAGAGAAUACCAAGGCGCUUGAGAGAACUCGGGUGAAGGAACUAGGCAAAAUGGUACCGUAACUUCGGGAGAAGGUACGCUCUCGAUGGUGAAGUCCCUCGCGGAUGGAGCUGAC
Molecule: ribosomal RNA, 271 nt
Filed under: Vibrio parahaemolyticus
Lineage: Bacteria; Pseudomonadati; Pseudomonadota; Gammaproteobacteria; Vibrionales; Vibrionaceae
Description: partial 23S ribosomal RNA
Rfam family: Bacterial large subunit ribosomal RNA
Source: RNAcentral